This 1370-nucleotide long non-coding RNA is filed under the name Durio zibethinus. Its description in RNAcentral is "long non-coding RNA (DZIB_LNC002388)". The record is from RNAcentral. Lineage: Eukaryota; Viridiplantae; Streptophyta; Magnoliopsida; Malvales; Malvaceae.
AGUGCUUCAACUGUAAGUAAAUGAAAAGAAAUGUGUAAGAAAAGGUAGUGUUUCGCAGCCAAGGAAAUAAGGAAAACAGAAAUUGUAAGAAUAGAAAGUGCAAGUUGAAUUGAAAGAAAUUAACAAGAAAUUGAAUGUAAAUUCACAAGGAAAAUUAGGUAAAUGUAAAAAAUAAGUAAAAGGAACAUUAAAGUGUUGGACAAUUAACGAAAAAAUCAAAAUAAAAGCAGUUUUGAAGAAAAGAAAAGAAAAUCAUGCCACGCUGCAAUCUCGUAGGGUAGACAAAGAAAAAAGACCGAAGCCUCCUAACCUUGUCAAAAUUCAAACGAGCUUGACGAGUGAGACAAGCCUGAACGAUUUUAAACGUAGGAAGGGCUUUCCAGGUUCGUUCGAACGCAAGCCCUUGUUCAAGGGGCUUGGUUCUGAUCCAUGGACAAAUACCGCUCAAUGAGAGCCGGAAGAGUGGAUUUGACGUCCGACACCACAUCAAGGAUAGAGUCCAUGUCAUUGGGUGGGGUAACGAUUGAUUUAAAAGUAGCCUUACUAACAGGCUUUGCCAGCAAUAUUAAUUUUGAUAUAUAAAAUGCUGACAAAAAAAAUCGUACCAACAAAUCACCCUUUAACUGUCUCUCCCGAAUAACUCUUCUAUGAAAGGAAGGAAUUAUUCGAGGGAUACCGGACCUUGUGAGAGAGACCGGGACGGAAAGGUCCGGGGGAACCGGUGGGGUUCCCCCAUAGAACAACUGUAGACUAGUUGCAGCUUGUAUAUAAUGCUACAAAAAGCCAACCAGAUGCUCGCCCAAGGGAAGGGGCACGAUCCGCUUUGCCAGUAAGUGUGUAGCAAUACACAUUUCCUUGGUAAGACCAUCCUGAAUGAUCAAAAGAACCCUUGAAAGAAUUCCUUUAAUCAUCCUAGGGUUUUCUAAGACCCUAUGCCAAAGCAAGAGUCUGACCGAUAUCAAAGAUGAAAACAAUUUGUGCAUCGUAGUCAUGUCUAUUUAUGAGAUGGCUCGCCCCCCUUUCCUAUAUGGAGGAAAGGGAAAUGCACUCGGAUGCAUACCUACCAAGGUCUGACAUCCCAGCCCAGUGGUUAUCCCACACCCUGGUUACUACUAUUUUAAGACUGCACAAAGAGCAAUCAAGCUCUGAUAAGAAUCAGACACUCGCUUACUCACCCACUUGGGAACGAUCUUGUCGCCCCAUAGGGGGGCACCUCUGGAUACUAAACCAAAGGAGAUGUGAUCAAGAAAAUGUGCAAGAAAGUAAAUUUACACUACUCCUAAUCUAAUCCUACUUUAAUUAGCUCUCUAAGCAACUCUAUUACUUCCCUAACACUUUUCUCCUUCAAAUGGAAGCAACUAGCAGUAUUU